Felis catus (domestic cat) is the source of this 85-nucleotide non-coding RNA. NCBI's taxonomy places the organism in Eukaryota, Metazoa, Chordata, Mammalia, Carnivora, Felidae. The record is from Rfam.
GCCUGGGUGGCCCAGUCGGUUGAGCGUCCGACUCCGGCUCGGGUCACGAUCUCACGGGUCGCGGGUUCGAGCCCUGCGUCGGGCU